UACAGAAGGGGCAAGCGUUGUCCGGAGUUACUGGGCGUAAAGGGUCCGCAGGCGGUUUGACAAGUGUCGUGUGAAAGCCCCGUGCUUAACACGGGGAGGCCACGGCAGACUGUCAGACUCGAGUGAUGCAGAGGGUGGUGGAAUUGCCGGUGUAGUGGUGAAAUGCGUAGAGAUCCGGAGGAACACCAGCGGCGAAGGCGGCAUCCUGGACUGGUCCUGACACUCAGGAGCGAAAGCGUGGGGAGCGAACAGG
This 253-nucleotide ribosomal RNA is filed under the name uncultured bacterium. RNAcentral's name for it is "partial 16S ribosomal RNA". It matches the Rfam family "Bacterial small subunit ribosomal RNA", at positions 524 to 776 of the family's 1533-position model. The record is from RNAcentral.